GGUUAAAUUCAUCUUU
Molecule: small RNA, 16 nt
Filed under: Arabidopsis thaliana (thale cress)
Lineage: Eukaryota; Viridiplantae; Streptophyta; Magnoliopsida; Brassicales; Brassicaceae
Description: ATSL119020
Source: RNAcentral